GUCUAUAACCAUACCACCCUGAGCACACCCGAUCUCAUUUGAUCUUGGAAACUAAGCAGGGUCACGCCUGGCUAGUGCUUGGAUGGGAGACCCUGCCUAGAAGGUAGAAGGUGAAGAAU
This 119-nucleotide ribosomal RNA is filed under the name Jaculus jaculus (lesser Egyptian jerboa). The record is from RNAcentral. Lineage: Eukaryota; Metazoa; Chordata; Mammalia; Rodentia; Dipodidae.